AUGUAUCAGCACAAGCCUCAAAAUGGUGAAGCCGCGAAUAGCUCAUUACAACAGUCGUAGUUUAUUAGAAAGUAUCAAAUGGAUAACUGUGGUAAUUCUAGAGCUAAUACAUGUUCCAAUCCCCGACUUACGAAGGGGUGCAUUUAUUAGAACAAAGCCGAUCAGACUAUGUCUGUCUCAGGUUGACUCUGAAUAACUUUGCUAAUCGCACAGUCUUUGCACUGGCGAUGUAUCUUUCAAAUGUCUGCCUUAUCAACUGUUGAUGGUAGAUUAUGCGCCUACCAUGGUUGUAACGGGUAACGGAGAAUCAGGGUUUGAUUCCGGAGAGGGAGCCUGAGAAACAGCUACCACAUCCAAGGAAGGCAGCAGGCACGCAAAUUACCCACUCCCAGUUCGGGGAGGUAGUGACGAAAAAUAACGAGACGAUGCUCUACGAGUAUCGUCAUCGGAAUGAGAACAAUCUAAAUACUUUAACGAGUAUCUAUUGGAGGGCAAGUCUGGUGCCAGCAGCCGCGGUAAUUCCAGCUCCAAUAGCGUAUAUUAAAGUUGUUGCGGUUAAAAAGCUCGUAGUUGGAUCUGAGAUUUGUGACAGCGGUCCUCUAAUGAGUUGUACUGCUUGUCACGGUCUAAUCUGUUGGUUGGUGUGCAGUGCUCUUUAUUGAGUGUUGUAUGCUGCCAACUAUUUUACUUUGAAGAAAUUAGAGUGCUCAAAGCAGGCGUUUGCUCGAAUAUUGGUGCAUGGAAUAAUGGAAUAGGGCCUUGGCUCUAUUUUGUUGGUUUUAGGAGCACGAGGCAAUGAUUAAGAGAAACAGACGGGGGCAUUUGUAUUGCGGCGUUAGAGGUGAAAUUCUUGGAUCGUCGCAAGACAAACAACUGCGAAAGCAUUUGCCAAGAAUGUUUUCAUUAAUCAAGAACGAAAGUUAGAGGUUCGAAGGCGAUCAGAUACCGCCCUAGUUCUGACCGUAAA
This 967-nucleotide ribosomal RNA is filed under the name Halalaimus sp. MC12-1. RNAcentral's name for it is "bacterial SSU rRNA". It matches the Rfam family "Eukaryotic small subunit ribosomal RNA", at positions 55 to 1036 of the family's 1831-position model. The record is from RNAcentral. Lineage: Eukaryota; Metazoa; Nematoda; Enoplea; Enoplida; Oxystominidae.